CCAAAAUGUCAAAUUAGGUGGGAGGAAAUAUUUGGAACAAAUAUACCUUGGGAAAAUAUGUGGUCGGGAUUGAAAUAUUUGAAAAUUGAAAAUAAAGUAAAAGAAUUCCAAUGGAGAUCCUUGCACAAUAUUUUAUAUACUGAAGAAAGAUUAAAAAAAAUGAAGUUAUCAAAUGGAAAAUGCCACAUUUGUCAAAAUGACAAUAAUAUAGAAACCCUGCAACACUUAUUUUUUAGUUGUUGUACAUCACAGUUAAUUUUAAAAAACCUCCAAGAAAUACUGAUCAAAUCAAACAUAGGAAUAAACAAUCCGUUUGGUGAAAAGGACGUGUUAUUGGGUAAAAACACGGGAGAACUAAAAUAUGAUAAUUUUUUAAACAUAAUUAUCUUAUAUUUUAAAUGGACACUAUGGAAAAUUAGGAAUUCAAUAAAAUUUAACAAAACGCCUAAAACACCACAAGAUAUUUAUAAAAUCUGGAAACAAAACUUGAAAAUUAAUCUUAAAUUUGUUCUUCUUUUGAAAGGCGUUGAUAUCAUUGAUAAGACAAAAUUG
Molecule: long non-coding RNA, 552 nt
Filed under: Mytilus galloprovincialis (Mediterranean mussel)
Lineage: Eukaryota; Metazoa; Mollusca; Bivalvia; Mytilida; Mytilidae
Source: RNAcentral